UUCCGCGCCGGCCGUAAUACAUGCAGUCGAGCGGACCGAACGGGAGCUUGCUUCUGUUCGGUUAGCGGCGGACGGGUGAGUAACACGUGGGUAACCUGCCCGUAAGACCGGGAUAACUCCGGGAAACCGGGGCUAAUACCGGAUAACACCGAAGACCGCAUGGUCUUUGGUUGAAAGGUGGCUUUUGCUACCACUUACGGAUGGGCCCGCGGCGCAUUAGCUAGUUGGUGAGGUAACGGCUCACCAAGGCGACGAUGCGUAGCCGGCCUGAGAGGGUGACCGGCCACACUGGGACUGAGACACGGCCCAGACUCCUACGGGAGGCAGCAGUAGGGAAUCUUCCGCAAUGGACGAAAGUCUGACGGAGCGACGCCGCGUGAGCGAAGAAGGUCUUCGGAUCGUAAAGCUCUGUUGUUAGGGAAGAAGAAGUACCGUUCGAAUAGGGCGGUACGGUGACGGUACCUAACGAGAAAGCCCCGGCUAACUACGUGCCAGCAGCCGCGGUAAUACGUAGGGGGCGAGCGUUGUCCGGAAUUAUUGGGCGUAAAGCGCGCGCAGGCGGUCCCUUAAGUCUGAUGUGAAAGCCCACGGCUCACCCGUGGAGGGUCAUUGGAAACUGGGGGACUUGAGUGCAGAAGAGGAGAGCGGAAUUCCACGUGUAGCGGUGAAAUGCGUAGAGAUGUGGAGGAACACCAGUGGCGAAAGCGGCUCUCUGGUCUGUAACUGACGCUGAGGCGCGAAAGCGUGGGGAGCAAACAGGAUUAGAUACCCUGGUAGUCCACGCCGUAAACGAUGAGUGGCUAAGGUUGUUA
Molecule: ribosomal RNA, 812 nt
Filed under: Parageobacillus thermantarcticus
Lineage: Bacteria; Bacillati; Bacillota; Bacilli; Caryophanales; Anoxybacillaceae
Description: bacterial SSU rRNA
Rfam family: Bacterial small subunit ribosomal RNA
Source: RNAcentral